Molecule: ribosomal RNA, 253 nt
Filed under: uncultured bacterium
Lineage: Bacteria
Description: partial 16S ribosomal RNA
Rfam family: Bacterial small subunit ribosomal RNA
Source: RNAcentral
UACGGAGGGUGCGAGCGUUGUCCGGAAUCACUGGGCGUAAAGGGCGCGUAGGUGGCCCGUUAAGUGGCUGGUGAAAUCCCGGGGCUCAACUCCGGGGCUGCCGGUCAGACUGGCGAGCUAGAGCACGGUAGGGGCAGAUGGAAUUCCCGGUGUAGCGGUGGAAUGCGUAGAGAUCGGGAAGAAUACCAGUGGCGAAGGCGUUCUGCUGAGCCGUUGCUGACACUGAGGCGCGACAGCGUGGGGAGCAAACAGG